GAGAUAUUAGUAAAAUAAUUACAUAACUUUGUCAAAGUUAAUUUAUAGGUUAAAAUCCCUUUAUAUCUCU
This 70-nucleotide transfer RNA is filed under the name Tamiops swinhoei. Its description in RNAcentral is "tRNA-Asp". It matches the Rfam family "tRNA". Rfam says of the family: Transfer RNA (tRNA) molecules are approximately 80 nucleotides in length. Their secondary structure includes four short double-helical elements and three loops (D, anti-codon, and T loops). The record is from RNAcentral. Lineage: Eukaryota; Metazoa; Chordata; Mammalia; Rodentia; Sciuridae.